ACUCCUACGGGAGGCAGCAGUAGGGAAUAUUGGACAAUGGGCGCAAGCCUGAUCCAGCCAUGCCGCGUGAGUGAAGAAGGCCCUCGGGUUGUAAAGCUCUUUUGUCCGGAAAGAAAAGCGCCGGGUUAAUACCCUGGUGUCCUGACGGUACCGGAAGAAUAAGCACCGGCUAACUUCGUGCCAGCAGCCGCGGUAAUACGAAGGGUGCAAGCGUUACUCGGAAUUACUGGGCGUAAAGCGUGCGUAGGUGGUUCGUUAAGUCCGAUGUGAAAGCCCUGGGCUCAACCUGGGAAUGGCAUUGGAUACUGGCGGGCUAGAGUGCGGUAGAGGGUAGUGGAAUUCCCGGUGUAGCAGUGAAAUGCGUAGAGAUCGGGAGGAACAUCCGUGGCGAAGGCGACUACCUGGACCAGCACUGACACUGAGGCACGAAAGCGUGGGGAGCAAACAGGAUUAGAUACCCUGGUAGUCCACGCCCUAAACGAUGCGAACUGGAUGUUGGGCUCAACUUGGAGCUCAGUAUCGAAGCUAACGCGUUAA
RNAcentral lists this ribosomal RNA (537 nucleotides) under uncultured bacterium. RNAcentral describes it as "bacterial SSU rRNA". It matches the Rfam family "Bacterial small subunit ribosomal RNA", at positions 335 to 863 of the family's 1533-position model. The record is from RNAcentral.